GGAAUUUUCCGCAAUGGGCGAAAGCCUGACGGAGCAACGCCGCGUGAGGGAUGAAGGCCUCUGGGCUGUAAACCUCUUUUAUCAAGGAAGAAGAUCUGACGGUACUUGAUGAAUAAGCCACGGCUAAUUCCGUGCCAGCAGCCGCGGUAAUACGGGAGUGGCAAGCGUUAUCCGGAAUUAUUGGGCGUAAAGCGUCCGCAGGCGGUCUUGUAAGUCUGUCGUUAAAGCGUGGAGCUUAGCUCCAUUUCAGCGAUGGAAACUGCAAGACUAGAGUGUGGUAGGGGCAGAGGGAAUUCCCGGUGUAGCGGUGAAAUGCGUAGAUAUCGGGAAGAACACCAGUGGCGAAGGCGCUCUGCUGGGCCAUAACUGACGCUCACGGACGAAAGCCAGGGGAGCGAAAGGGAUUAGAUACCCCAGUAGUC
This 422-nucleotide ribosomal RNA is filed under the name uncultured cyanobacterium. RNAcentral's name for it is "bacterial SSU rRNA". It matches the Rfam family "Bacterial small subunit ribosomal RNA", at positions 358 to 795 of the family's 1533-position model. The record is from RNAcentral. Lineage: Bacteria; Bacillati; Cyanobacteriota.